CCCCGCGCAGCCCCGCGCUCCCUGCGCGCCGCAGCCGCUCCGCCGCCCGGCUCCCGAGUGAUGCUCAGCCCGGCGCGCCGCUCUGCCCAUACACGUUUCCAAUCUCAUGGCUCAUAAACUAUCCGCAAAGGGAUUUCAUUAUUCACCUUCGGUAUCCGACAGAGGAGAGAGAAAGGGAAAAAAAAAAAAAAAAAAGCCAUGGACGCCCCUAGGAACAGCGAGGCCCGGGCCGGGCUGAAGCGGCGGUGCUGCCCGCCCCCGCGGUGUGCGGUGCGGUGCGGAGGUCGGGCUGGCGGCUGCGAGCUUUCCGCGCCGCUCCGCGGGCUGCCUCCGCCCGGUGCUGGGCUCCGGCCGCUGCCUAUUGUCCCGGAGUGACUGAGGUCAGCCUGGCACGGGGGCAAAGCAGAACCGUGAACUGUGUUUUACUGGGAGCGGAAAAAAAAAAUCCGGAGGAAAGAGUAAAAUCUCGGCGGCCUGGUGCGGUCUGGUCUUGUUUGUUAUGUUCUUUUUUUUUUUUUUUUUUUUUUUUUUUUCCCUGCGAUAAAUACCAUUAGGAGUUAUUUAGUUCUCCGCUGAAAUCUGGCACAUCACACCCCGGGUGCGAAGCCGAAGCCACCCGGUGCGGCGCGGCGCGGUGCGGGCAACGCGCUCCCGCGAAGGCAGGGCCAGCGCCCAGGGCCGAGAUAGGAAGUGCCAUCACCAGGCAUGUGAUCCUGACCUCAGUCGGAGCAUCCUUGGCCUGCAGUCAAGCAGUCGCUGCACUCACUGAAACAGCCUGUCUGCUUAGCCAUGGAUUAAAAUUCGUCCACUGAUCCAAGACAGAUAUGAGAGUCUGGACAGCAGUCUGUAGAAAGCUCAGUAUGCCUCCAUCUUCUGCAUGGACAAAAUGAGCGAUGAUGAUGAUGAAGGUAUAGAAUCGCACGGAGGGGCUGAUGCUGAAGAUCAAACACACGGAUAAGAGAUGUUAUCGUGAGUGUUCCCCUCAAGUAAUUUGGGUUUGGAAUGAUGGCUUCUAAAACAACUGUAUAAAACUAACAAUUAAGGCAGUCCUAGAACAUGGCAGUACCUGUGUGUAUUCUUUUCUGUCAGACAAAACCUGUGCAGAGGAACUUCCAUUUCCCCCCUCCUUUUUAUUUUUUUUUAAUUAUUCUUUUUAUUUUUCGAUGGGAUGAAAAGUGGAAUAGAAAUAGAUCUUUUCAUCAGCAUCUCCAUUUUUACAAACCACUGUUUUGCAAUAUAAAAGUAAUAAAUUGAAAAUGUGUUGAUGACUUUGCCUGUCAGGCACUCAUAUGAUCACCUAAAACCAAAACUCAUGUGGAAAAACAGCUGACUGCCAGCAUGUACAGCUGUGCACAUCAGCCAGAAACAGACAAAGUAUGUUCCCAGCCUCAAGUCUGUAGUCUCUAAACCCCUUCAAAUGCUUUUUUCCUCAAGGUAUGAGUUUAAAAUAGAUUAAAAUAAUCAUUCACUGCAGUAUCACGUAUCUCUGUGAAUCACAAAAUCUCUGAUUUUACCAGUGCCUCAUGCCUGAACUGUUUAGGUGAUGAGAUGUAAGGAAAAAAAAAAUCUGGCUCAAGUCUCUCAAAAAUAAUAUGCAGAGGCACCAUUACUUUGGUUUCUCACUGUGCGUUUCUUCAGAUGCCUCUCAUAUAAGCUCCAUUGCCCCCUAUGGAUUAUUGCUCACAAUAAAGAGAAGUUAUUUGAA
Long non-coding RNA from Falco peregrinus (peregrine falcon), 1705 nucleotides. RefSeq lists it as uncharacterized. Lineage: Eukaryota; Metazoa; Chordata; Aves; Falconiformes; Falconidae. The transcript has 4 exons. The record is from RefSeq and is a predicted model, not a curated record.